This is a long non-coding RNA of Mytilus californianus (California mussel), 496 nucleotides long. RefSeq lists it as uncharacterized. The transcript is spliced from 2 exons. The record is from RefSeq and is a predicted model, not a curated record. Lineage: Eukaryota; Metazoa; Mollusca; Bivalvia; Mytilida; Mytilidae.
GAUACGGGAUCUAUUCGGAACGGUCACUUAUAAAGACACUUAGCUUUACAGUUAAAUGUGUGACUCUAUCUGGUAUGUUCGGUGAAAAAUUUAUAGUUUUUUUUCUUUUUAAAUUAUAUUUACGUUAUCUUAUUAUAUAUAUAUUUUGGCUUCCUCCCGAAUUGAUAAUAGGUAUGUCAGAAUUAUUGAUAGAUGUCGUGUCAGAGCGACACAUUCAGUUAGGUAUUCCAAGGACGUAUAUUAGAUACACGUCCCUGGGUAUUCCAGUGACAUCCUGUCAACUAAAAAUUCGUAUUACACAAUUAUAUAAUACAGGUUCAUGCAUGGCCUCUUUAUUGAGGUACCCGGUGUGCACAGGUAACAUUUAUUGAACCAUAUAUUUGUGUCUAACGUUGUUUAUCUUGUGUGUGUUUGAAAUUAUAAUUCCACCUUUUAAUGAAUGAUGUUCUGAUAAUAAUAUUAUCCACUAUUUUUGCUGAUAAUAAGUUUAAAAUAA